GAUGAACGCUGGCGGCGUGCCUAACACAUGCAAGUCGAGCGAAAAGACGAGAAGCUUGCUUCUCUGAUGUUAGCGGUGGACGGGUGAGUAACACUUGGAUAACCUACCUAUAAUACUGGGAUGAAUUCGGGACAACGGAGCUAAUACCGGUCAAUAUUUUGCACCGCAUGGUUCAAGAUUGAAAGACGGUCUUGCUGUCACUUAUAGAUGGAUCCGCGCUGCAUUAGCUAGUUGGUAAGGUCACGGCUUACCAAGGCAACGUUUCAUAGCCGACCUGAGCGAUGGAUCGGCCACACGCGAUCUGAAACACGGUCCGGCCGCCUACGGGACGCAGGAGACGGAAAUCUGCCGCCAUGUGCCAAAGCCUGACGGAGCAACCGCGCGUGAGUGAUGACGAGCUUCGGAUCGUAAAUUUCAUAUAUAAGGGGAGAACGAAUAUGUAAGUAACUGUGAACAUCUUGACGGUACCUAAUCAGGAAGCAACGGCUAACUACGUG
RNAcentral lists this ribosomal RNA (497 nucleotides) under uncultured bacterium. RNAcentral describes it as "partial 16S ribosomal RNA". It matches the Rfam family "Bacterial small subunit ribosomal RNA", at positions 28 to 507 of the family's 1533-position model. The record is from RNAcentral.